AUGGCGACGUCUAUUUCCUUUCUCACCAUUUCUCCGCCUUCACAACCUUUUCGUUUGCCUCUGUCUCGAGUCCAAGCGCCGCCGCACGACCUUCCCAUCGUCUCACCUCUUCGAAUCCGACUCGCAAACCGUCAUUUCGCUCCUCUACAUCAGCGGCCUUGUUCCCGCCAUGCUAUACUGCAUCAUCACCUUCGUCCGCUUAAUCUCUUGAUCUUCUUUGUUCUUCUCUCCGACCGAUGUAUAACCAGAAAUCCAGAUGAGAGGGUCAGUGUUAUGCGAUGA
Non-coding RNA from Vicia faba (fava bean), 282 nucleotides. Lineage: Eukaryota; Viridiplantae; Streptophyta; Magnoliopsida; Fabales; Fabaceae. The record is from the annotation of a GenBank genome assembly.